Molecule: ribosomal RNA, 490 nt
Filed under: uncultured bacterium
Lineage: Bacteria
Description: partial 16S ribosomal RNA
Rfam family: Bacterial small subunit ribosomal RNA
Source: RNAcentral
GAUGAACGCUAGCGAUAGGCUUAACACAUGCAAGUCGAGGGGCAGCAUAGUCUUAGCUUGCUAAGACUGAUGGCGACCGGCGCACGGGUGCGUAACGCGUAUGCAACUUGCCUCACAGAGGGGGAUAACCCGUCGAAAGACGGACUAAUACCGCGUACACUUGGGAUAGGGCAUCCUGACCCAAGGAAAUGAAAUUCGCUGUGAGAUAGGCAUGCGUCCCAUUAGCUAGUUGGUGAGGUAACGGCUCACCAAGGCGACGAUGGGUAGGGGAACUGAGAGGUUGAACCCCCACACUGGUACUGAGACACGGACCAGACUCCUACGGGAGGCAGCAGUGAGGAAUAUUGGUCAAUGGGCGAGAGCCUGAACCAGCCAAGUCGCGUGAAGGAUGACUGUCUUAUGGAUUGUAAACUUCUUUUAGACGGGAAUAACAAGAGCCACGUGUGGCUCCCUGCAUGUACCGUAUGAAUAAGCAUCGGCUAACUCCGUG